Molecule: ribosomal RNA, 780 nt
Filed under: uncultured Bacteroidota bacterium
Lineage: Bacteria; Pseudomonadati; Bacteroidota
Description: bacterial SSU rRNA
Rfam family: Bacterial small subunit ribosomal RNA
Source: RNAcentral
UUGAGUGCUUGCACUCUUUGGACGUCGACCGGCGCACGGGUGAGUAACGCGUAUCCAACCUUCCCAUUACUGUGGGAUAACCUGCCGAAAGGCAGACUAAUACCGCAUAGUCUUCGAUGACGGCAUCAGAUUUGAAGUAAAGAUUUAUCGGUAAUGGAUGGGGAUGCGUCUGAUUAGCUUGUUGGCGGGGUAACGGCCCACCAAGGCGACGAUCAGUAGGGGUUCUGAGAGGAAGGUCCCCCACAUUGGAACUGAGACACGGUCCAAACUCCUACGGGAGGCAGCAGUGAGGAAUAUUGGUCAAUGGACGGAAGUCUGAACCAGCCAAGUAGCGUGCAGGAUGACGGCCCUAUGGGUUGUAAACUGCUUUUGUAUGGGGAUAAAGUUAGGGACGUGUCCCUAUUUGCAGGUACCAUACGAAUAAGGACCGGCUAAUUCCGUGCCAGCAGCCGCGGUAAUACGGAAGGUCCAGGCGUUAUCCGGAUUUAUUGGGUUUAAAGGGAGCGUAGGCUGGAGAUUAAGUGUGUUGUGAAAUGUAGACGCUCAACGUCUGAAUUGCAGCGCAUACUGGUUUCCUUGAGUACGCACAACGUUGGCGGAAUUCGUCGUGUAGCGGUGAAAUGCUUAGAUAUGACGAAGAACUCCGAUUGCGAAGGCAGCUGACGGGAGCGCAACUGACGCUUAAGCUCGAAGGUGCGGGUAUCGAACAGGAUUAGAUAACCUGGUAGUCCGCACAGUAAACGAUGGAUGCCCGCUGUUGGUACCUGGUAUCAGCGGCUA